RNAcentral lists this ribosomal RNA (420 nucleotides) under Triticum aestivum (bread wheat). RNAcentral's name for it is "partial small subunit ribosomal RNA". The record is from RNAcentral. Lineage: Eukaryota; Viridiplantae; Streptophyta; Magnoliopsida; Poales; Poaceae.
AUGGAGGACAAGGACCCGUCUCUUCUUCCUACGGAUCAUUCACAGACCAUUCCUCUGCACCUCCCCGAAGAACACGAAAAAGAGAUGGAACCUUUGCUGAUGAAAGGCUGCCGGACUUCCGGUGGCGCGGGACAAGGGAAGUUGAAGCCGGCGGCGGCCUGGAGACUGGGAGAUAUCUCCGAGAUCAUUUCAGUUUGGUGCAUGAAAACAGCAAUCGCCCUCGCGUGCGUCUAUCUUGUUUUCCUUUCUUAUGUCGCGGUGACAUACACACCUAGCUGGGCGGAGAAGCUGCGGUUGUCACCACUGUUCCUUUUUGCGACAAUUGUCCUGUUGUUUGGAGCACUCAUGAUCCGAGACAAGCAAGAUGGAUGUGGGAGGAACACACAGUGUGUUCUCAUGGAAUAUCAACCUCGAUUAUAG